UACGGAGGGUGCAAGCGUUAUCCGGAUUCACUGGGUUUAAAGGGUGCGUAGGUGGGCAGGUAAGUCAGUGGUGAAAUCUCCGGGCUUAACCCGGAAACUGCCAUUGAUACUAUCAGUCUUGAAUACCGUGGAGGUAAGCGGAAUAUGUCAUGUAGCGGUGAAAUGCUUAGAUAUAACAUAGAACACCAAUUGCGAAGGCAGCUUACUACCCGAAUAUUGACACUGAGGCACGAAAGCGUGGGGAUCAAACAGG
This 253-nucleotide ribosomal RNA is filed under the name uncultured bacterium. Its description in RNAcentral is "partial 16S ribosomal RNA". It matches the Rfam family "Bacterial small subunit ribosomal RNA", at positions 524 to 776 of the family's 1533-position model. The record is from RNAcentral.